GGCUUUAUGGUGGAAAAAAAGACGUCAAAUUGCAAAUUUGAAGAUGUACAAGUUACUAAAGCUU
RNAcentral lists this transfer RNA (64 nucleotides) under Euastacus armatus (Murray cray). RNAcentral's name for it is "tRNA-Cys". Lineage: Eukaryota; Metazoa; Arthropoda; Malacostraca; Decapoda; Parastacidae. The record is from RNAcentral.